UACGUAGGAGGCAAGCGUUGUCCGGAAUUACUGGGCGUAAAGCGCGUGUAGGUGGUGGGACAAGUCUGCUGUGAAAGCGCCUGGCUUAACCGGGCGAGGUCGGCGGAAACUGUCCGACUCGAGGACGGUAGAGGGGGGUGGAAUUCCCGGUGUAGUGGUGAAAUGCGUAGAGAUCGGGAGGAACACCUGUGGCGAAGGCGGCCCCCUGGGCUGUACCUGACGCUGAAACGCGAAAGCUAGGGGAGCGAACGGG
This 253-nucleotide ribosomal RNA is filed under the name uncultured bacterium. RNAcentral describes it as "partial 16S ribosomal RNA". It matches the Rfam family "Bacterial small subunit ribosomal RNA", at positions 524 to 776 of the family's 1533-position model. The record is from RNAcentral.